CCUACGUGAGGCAGCAGUGGGGAAUAUUGCGCAAUGGGCGAAAGCCUGACGCAGCGACGCCGCGUGAGGGAUGAAGGUCUUCGGAUCGUAAACCUCUGUCAGCAGGGAAGAACGGUCACUGUGCUAAUCAGCAGUGAAUUGACGGUACCUGCAAAGGAAGCACCGGCUAACUCCGUGCCAGCAGCCGCGGUAAUACGGAGGGUGCGAGCGUUAAUCGGAAUUACUGGGCGUAAAGCGCUCGUAGGCGGUAUGUCAAGUCAAGGGUGAAAUCCCCGCGCUCAACGUGGGAACUGCCUUUGAAACUGGCAAACUGGAGUGUGUGAGAGGAUAGUGGAAUUCCAGGGGUAGGAGUGAAAUCCGUAGAUAUCUGGAGGAACAUCAGUGGCGAAGGCGACUAUCUGGCACAUAACUGACGCUGAGGAGCGAAAGCGUGGGUAGCAAACAGGAUUAGAUACCCCAGUAGUC
RNAcentral lists this ribosomal RNA (465 nucleotides) under uncultured bacterium. RNAcentral describes it as "partial 16S ribosomal RNA". It matches the Rfam family "Bacterial small subunit ribosomal RNA", at positions 338 to 795 of the family's 1533-position model. The record is from RNAcentral.